CCACGGUGACUUGCAAGCAACUCACUGCACUUAGGCACUGGACUAUCUGAAUUUCUAAUUCAGUGACGGAAGGCUGCUGGGUGUAGUCAAGUACUUGACUUAUCGAUGCAUGUAUCAAGAUGGGAUUGACCACUCCAGUUUAGGAGCUGUGUACAGUCGUGUUUCAAUUUAGCAAAAUCUUGGUCAGGGUAGUCUUUGUGAGGAGUCACAG
Molecule: long non-coding RNA, 211 nt
Filed under: Elaeis guineensis (African oil palm)
Lineage: Eukaryota; Viridiplantae; Streptophyta; Magnoliopsida; Arecales; Arecaceae
Description: long non-coding RNA (EGUI_LNC061454)
Source: RNAcentral